UGGUUCUCGCAUCGAUGAAGAACGCAGCGAAUUGCGAUAUGUAAUGUGAAUUGCAGAAUUCAGUGAAUCAUCGAAUCUUUGAACGCACAUUGCACCCUCUGGUAUUCCGGAGGGUAUGCCUGUUUGAGUGUCAUUAAUGUAUCAACACAGACUGGUUUUACCUGUUCUGAUGCUUGGAUGUUGAAGGCUUGCCGGCAUUCACUGCCAGCUCCUUUUAAAUGCAUUAGCAGAAACUUACAAAGCUGGCUUCAGUUUGAUAAUCAUUGUUAUCUGUUUUGCUGUUGCUAGUGGUUAUUGUUUCAGCUUCCAACUGUCCUUAUGGGACUGUCUCUCUAGAGGCAUAAACUUGACACUUGACCUCAAAUCAGGUAGGACUACCCGCUGA
RNAcentral lists this unclassified non-coding RNA (385 nucleotides) under uncultured fungus. Its description in RNAcentral is "partial contains 5.8S ribosomal RNA and internal transcribed spacer 2". The stretch from base 1 to 133 matches the Rfam family "5.8S ribosomal RNA", at positions 22 to 154 of the family's 154-position model. Lineage: Eukaryota; Fungi. The record is from RNAcentral.